Molecule: non-coding RNA, 1751 nt
Organism: Chrysemys picta bellii (western painted turtle)
Lineage: Eukaryota; Metazoa; Chordata; Testudines; Emydidae
Source: RefSeq, a predicted model, not a curated record
AUGAAAUUGGUCAAGUAAUCUUUGUUCAGAUAACUCAACAAAUCUUUUAAUUUUAUAGUGCUGUGCAGAAAUGGCAUAUCUAGUUUAUAUGGUGGUUAUGUUAAGAUCUUUCUGUGUUAGCCACUAAUAUUUAUUUUGUGUUGUACAGGACAAAGAUACUGACAGAAUCUUACAAUAUAAGAGAAAGAGAUAAAAUGUGAAAGUCAAAGGAGAGGCAACUUCACUGAAUUUUUGUGUGCUUUGUGGGCAUUGUGGAAGAAUCAAUUUUUAGGAGGUAUUUGAGUAAUAUGGUGACUUGAUGAGCUGGACUAGGGAGCCUAUACUGCAGUUAAGAGUCAGGAAAAGAAAAAAGAAACAAACAGGCCUUGUAUUCUAGAGUGUAGGGAGCCAAAGUUCAGCAGACAAAACAAUGUCUGAAAUGUUGUCUGUAGGUAGCUGUGUGUAAGGCCAUGAGAUUGGGGAUGAGAAUUUUAAGCUCAGUGCAGCAUGCAGAUAAAUGCCAGUGGAGAGAUUCAAAGAUCUGGGUGUUGUGCUCAGGUUGACAGGCAAGGAAGAUCGCUUUUCAGCAAGGUAUUCUCCAAAGCACUGGUUUUCAACCAGGGGUAUGUGUACCCUUGGGGGUAUGCAGAGCUCUUCUAGGAAUUACAUCAAUUCAUCUAGAUAUUUGCCUUAUUUUACAACAAGCUACAUGAAAAAGCACUAGCAACGUCUGUAUAUAAUUAUAUGGUAAAAAUGAGAGAGCCAUUUUUCAGUAAUAGUGUUCUGUACAUUUUUUUUUAUUUUUAUGUCUGAUUUUGUAAGCAAGUAGUUUUUAAGUUAGGUGAAAUUUGGGGGUAUGCAAGACAAAUAUGACUCCUGAAUGGGGUAUAGUAGUCUGGAAAGGUUGCGAGUCACUGCUCCGAAGCAUAUAUUUGGGAAGAAAACUGUUUUUGUUUUUGUUUUUUUCUUUAGUGAUGUUCUUAGUAUGUGACUGCUGGAAGGGAUUACUUUUCUAGGAUAAGGCAGAGCUUGGAGGAGAGAGAGAAGCCAUUCAACAUGUUAAGCUACUGGGAGUAUACAGUUUUGUAGCUGCGCUGGUCCCAGGAUAUUAGAAAGACCAGGUGGGUGAGGUAGUAUCUUUUAUUGGACAAAUUACUGUGGUGAGAGAGACGCUUUCAAGCUUAAACAAAGCUCUUCUUACCAACAGAAGUUGGUCCUAGGGAUGUAAAAUGUUUACUGGUUAACCGAUAAGCAUUAGUCUUACUGGUUAACCCACCUUAACGGUUAACCCUCCGGCCAGAGCGGCCCCAGCAGCCCUGUGCCGCCCAGCCAGAGUGGCCCCAGUGGCCCCCGUUUAAAUAGUUGAACUUGAAUCGUUUAAACAGUUAACUUUUUAAACAAUAUUUACAUCCAUAGUUGGUCCCAUAAAAAAAAUCUCACUCACCUUGUCUCUCUACUGGGAGUAUAAGCAGAGAUGAGUAGGAGUACCUUUGUGUGUGAAGGUGUUGAUGGUGCCAUCAAUGAAUUCUUUGCAAUUGUCUAUAGUUCAGAGGUGCUAAAGAGCUGAUGGGGCUGUAUUUGUCCCCCAUUUUCCCUUUUUUGGGUUCUGACCAUUGGUACCGAGAACAUUCCCUGAAAUUUUGAAAUUGAUUGGAUGUGGUGGUCAAAAGUUAUUGUUACAUACAGAAAUGACAUUGAAUGGAGUAUAAAGCCUUUGCGAGCUUGGCCAAUUAUAGUUGUAAAAUAAAGAAAUUCGUUCUAAUUUAUAGUUU